UCUGAUUUCCACCUCGAGAGCGAGCAGAAAAACACGCAGGAUGACAUGGGUACGAGCCAGUAAUAAUAAUGUAAGCUGAUCCUCCGUGUGAGAGAGAUCUGCCUGAGGCCUGAUCACGUUUACGGAGAACAGGCGUCUGGUUGGUCACGUGACUCACGUUCACCUCUGGUGUCAGGGCCAAUCAGGGGUCAGCGAGCGCAGACAAUGGCAGGUCUCCCCUCAGACUCGACCGUGUCUCUGCGUCAGCAGAAAAACACAAGAUGUUUGCUGGAGAGGCGCUGAAGAGCCAGCAGUCAGCAGAAAAACAAGGGCCGGCGGCCAACCAGACAGAUGGAGGCUUACAGAGGUCCACAGAGCCAACGCUUCACUCAAACUCACACAUAGAAGAGCGUUUGUAAGAUUGUAAAGACAGAAAUACACUGACCUGUGGUGACCACACAAAGACAGCAAUUAACAGCCUGUUAAUGAUGAGUAAUGUCCAUCUCACUAGCUAUUUCUGUGCAGAAUAGUCCACUUUUAUCCUCACCAAAGCUGUUUUAAAUCAAAAAAAUGUAUUUAUAAUCAA
Carassius carassius (crucian carp) is the source of this 565-nucleotide long non-coding RNA. RefSeq lists it as uncharacterized. The record is from RefSeq and is a predicted model, not a curated record. The transcript has 3 exons. NCBI's taxonomy places the organism in Eukaryota, Metazoa, Chordata, Actinopteri, Cypriniformes, Cyprinidae.